UGCGGGGGAGGGGCGGAGGUGGAUGGAAUCCUCUUGGAUUAUCAACGCGCGCGCUCUGUCACAACUUCGCCCGAUUUUACAUCGCCGAACGGAGAACACCCGCGGUCCCUUCGGCCAGACCGGGACCAAAGAUCGUACUGAUGAGGACGUGCCGCGCGCGGAUUGCCGUCCGAGCGAAAACCACCGGACCGCCGAUUCCUCACGGUGACACUGCCGCCCGUAAAAGAGGAACAAGCGCUCUGAAGCUAUUGUGCGGGCAGCGAUCACGGCACGAAUGUUAAUGUAACAUUGCGCGUACGGGGCAAAUUAGUCCCCGCGACAUUUGUACGGGGAGUAAUUUACAUAUGUAACGUCGGCGGUCAACGCCAAUGUCGAUGGUAACCAACAAUCGAGGCGGAGGCACUGUACGUGCACGCACACCGCGAGGGCCAUUUUACGCGCUCCUUACGUCCAGUUACUCGUCAAUCGACCCUAAUAACUUGCAGUUAUCGUUCAAUAACGCGACGCGCUGUUUUACAUUCUACACGUGACCCCCCGACGUUAUUAACGUCUUUUCUCAUCGCCAGCACCGGAUUGCCGUUACAAAACGAAGUUCCAGUACAUUAUAUCGUAACCGUAAAGUUCAUCCUCAGGGGUCAUCAUGGUUGAAAGAAUGGCGGAAAAAUACGACGCACCGGGACUUACAACCAUGGCACUGCCCAGACAUUCUUCUCCAUUGUAUAGAACUGCGAACUGAAGCAACGAUUAUUAUAAGUAUUAUUAUGAUGAAAUAAUUAAAAAGCAAAUGAAUAAAGUGAAAACUGUACCUGCCCCUCUGUAAUUGCUCUUAAAGGUUGACUAAUUUUAAUAAUUAAUUCAUUGGUUACAGUUUUCAUAAUUUUACAUGGAACAGGAGGAUCUCUGUGUUGAAAGAGAAAAUUGCAAUGCAUGAUGUUAAAAAAAUUAUUAAGUUUCUUCGGUUCUUCAGAUAUCCAAUGAGGAGUUUCAGUUUUCACUAGAUCUGAAUAUAAUGCUGGGUGAUUCGUUCCUUGUACCUAUGAACAAUAAGUAACAGCAUUUUAUUUUAUUUUCAAUAAGUAAUUAUUCUUUCUAAACGAUUCCUACAUACUACAAGUAUAUUAUUACUCUUAGCAAUCUUCUUAUAUAUGAAAAAUGCUUCUGACUGUCCUGCAAUUUUUACUCUUUGACCUACAGUCCAAUGAUGAAAACCCUUAUGUUCUCCAACCACUUUUCCAUUCUCCAAGUUUACAAAACUACCUGGCUUUUCUGGUAUGUACUGUAAAUAUAAUAAAAUAACAUGUAAAGAGCGUAAUAAUGUAUAGCUACAGUUAUUGUAUACCUCAGAUAUGAAAUUCUGAAAAUUUCGUUUUCCCACAAAGCAUAUACCCAUACUUUCUUUUUUUUUAGCAACUAAAUCCAAACCAACUUUUCGAGCAAUUUGCUUAACAUUAGUUUUCAAGUAAUGUCCCAAAGGAAACAUAGAGUAUCGUAAUGAUUCUUGUGGUAUCUGGCAUAAAAAGAAUGAUUGAUCUUUAUCUUUGU
Molecule: non-coding RNA, 1542 nt
Organism: Nomia melanderi (Alkali bee)
Lineage: Eukaryota; Metazoa; Arthropoda; Insecta; Hymenoptera; Halictidae
Source: RefSeq, a predicted model, not a curated record